This 1234-nucleotide ribosomal RNA is filed under the name metagenome. RNAcentral's name for it is "bacterial LSU rRNA". It matches the Rfam family "Bacterial large subunit ribosomal RNA", at positions 1564 to 2808 of the family's 2925-position model. The record is from RNAcentral.
UGAGUACGAGACGCUAAGGCGUCGAAGUAGUGGAUGUCAUACUUCCAAGAAAAGCUUGUACUGUCAUAAAUAAGAAAUGCCUGUACCAUAACCGACACAGGUGGGUAAGUAGAGUAUACUAAGGGGCGCGAGAUAACUCUCUCUAAGGAACUCGGCAAAAUAACUCCGUAACUUCGGGAGAAGGAGUGCCUUAUUCUUAAGGUUGCAAUAACAAGAUCCAAGCAACUGUUUAUCAAAAACACAGGUCUCCGCUAAGUCGUAAGACGAUGUAUGGGGGCUGACGCCUGCCCAGUGCCAGAAGGUUAAAGAAGUCGGUUAGCAAUAGCAAAGCUGGUAACUGAAGCCCUGGUGAACGGCGGCCGUAACUAUAACGGUCCUAAGGUAGCGAAAUUCCUUGUCGGGUAAGUUCCGACCCGCACGAAGGGCGUAAUGAUUUGGAUGCUGUCUCGGAGAGGGGCUCGGUGAAAUAGACUUGUCUGUGAAGAUGCGGACUACCUGCACCAGGACAGAAAGACCCUAUGAAGCUUUACUGUAACUUGAAAUUGAAAUUGGACUUUAUUCGCGCAGUAUAGGUGGGAGGCGUUGAUUAUAAUCUUGUGGGAUUAUUGGAGCCAUCAGUGAGAUACCACUCUUGUAAUGUUAGAUUUCUAACUUUGAAUCAUUAUCUGGUCAAAGGACAGUUUCAGGCGGGCAGUUUGACUGGGGCGGUCGCCUCCUAAACGGUAACGGAGGCGUACAAAGGUUUCCUCUGAACGGUUAGAAAUCGUAUCUAGAGUGUAAAGGCAUAAGGAAGCUUGACUGUGAGACCUACAAGUCGAGCAGGGACGAAAGUCGGUCUUAGUGAUCUGACGGUACUGAGUGGAAAGGCCGUCACUCAACGGAUAAAAGUUACUCUAGGAUAACAGGCUGAUCUCCCCCAAGAGUUCACAUCGACGGGGAGGUUUGGCACCUCGAUGUCGGCUCAUCGCAUCCUGGGGCGGUAGUACGUCCCAAGGGUUGGGCUGUUCGCCCAUGAAAGCGGUACGCGAGCUGGGUUCAGAACGUCGUGAGACAGUUCGGUCCAUAUCCGGUGUAGGCGCUAGAAUAUUGAGAGGAGCCUUCUUUAGUACGAGAGGACCGAGAAGGACAUACCUCUGGUGUACCAGUUAUCGUGCCAACGGUAAACGCUGGGUAGCUAUGUAUGGAGUGGAUAACCGCUGAAAGCAUCUAAGUGGGAAGCCCACCUCAAGAUAAG